GUGUCAACUCGUUUUCCACCUUCUUCAUCUCACUGCUCAGCCACGCCGCGUACCUUUCCACCUCGCUCAUGUUCUCCUAAAACCUCAUGCUUUCGGCUGUCACCUCCAACGAAUCAUGCGGCUCCUCCACCUCUCGCCGCACCACCACCCACAUCGGUAGCACGACGUGGUCGGCGUCUGAAGGCACAACUGCAACUUGUCGUGCAACGCGUAGGAAGUGCCUAAUCAGCUGUUCUCCGCUGUGCAAACAAAUUGGAGUCGUCUCGGCGCGGGGUCGUCUCGAAAAGAAGAGGAACGCUUUUGACUGCGAGAAGGGUAUGUUCAUGGCGGAUACCAUGCGGGCUACGGUGGUCCUGGUGCGCGACGCCGGCGAGCCGUCAUCGGACGUCAAAACUGCAAAAGAAAUCUAAAAUACGUGUUGAGAAAGGGGUUCAAGGACGAGACCAGCGUAACAAAUAUCUACAAUAGAGAAAGAGGGAGAUGAGGAGGAACGGUUAGCUAUGCUCGAGGGAGAGGAGGAGGAAUGAUCAGCCGUUCUUGAUCCAAGAGUGAGAAUUGAUUAACAUGCCCUCGAAUCACGCAUGUCCAUAUAGGACGCACGCUCUGCAAAAAAGAGAACCGCAGAACCGACUCUUUUUUUUUUCUUUUUUCUUAAAUUGUUUACAAAUUUAAAAUUUUAACCUGCCGCUUUGCCAUGUCACCACAUUGUCGCUUUGCAGCCUCACCAUUAUAGCUUGCAAUUGGUUCAGGUACGUCUACAAAUCAGGCUUUAUUGUCAUUUUUGUUCAUUUAAUUUGGGGUUCCUCAACAACUAGCACCGCGAGAUCCAUUAGCGAAUGGUGGCGAUUGUACAAAUUUGAAGGUCCAAAAUCAAAAUUUUCUUGUUAGGCUGCUUCAGUUGGGUUUUUGCAGUUCAAUGGGUUCACUGCGGUUUCAGUUGGGUUUAUUUUGGGUUUGAGAAUUCAAAUCAUGGAGUUUUGAAUCAAGAUUUGGGUAUUAAGGGUUCAUUUGUCGGGUUCGGGUUUAGCAGUUUAUGGUUGAUGAUGAUUUGUGUUUGGUCAGUGCUGUGUACAUCCUGGCAGAGAGGGGUUUCAAGGAUGGGAGUUUGACCUAGCUACGGGGGGAUCCUGGUAACUUUUGAGCGUCCAUCAAUGGCUGGUACAUGGGACUCUUCAUUUAUCUCCCAAUAGAAUCUGAUUUUGAUGCGAGCAAGGAGUACAAAGGAUAUUUUUUAAGUCAACUUCUCCAAAUUCAAUUACCAUUAUAAAAAAGUCACUAUUUAAUUGUGAAAGUCGUAAUGAACUCAUAACACUAAAGAGGGAACUAUAAGUCAUGAUACGUCCCAGACAUGAACUCUUUUUCUGCCCAUUAUCCCGUUCAAUUGUAAUCUAAUGCUUUUUCAUGUUUCUGAGAAUUUUUUAUUUUUCUAGAUUCUAAAAAUCUACUAGCUUUUGGUCAUUUAAAAACGAAUUUCAUCUAUAAUUUCAAUUUUCCUUUCCUUUUUUUGUUUGUUUUUUGAGGGAAAAAGGUGGGGGGGUUUAGAUCAAAUUUGAUUAACCCAUUGCAAGUUUUAAAAGUCAGGAAUUUGUGUCCACAUACUGCAUAUCUUUCUGAUCUUUAGUGGUUUGUUGGUCAUCUAGGUAUUUGGACCCUUUUGGUACUUGUUUUCAUUUGAGAGCUGGAAAGACGUGUGUGGAAUUCAUUUUCUGGUGCAUAUGGAAAUCAUCCUUGAUGUGAUCGUCAUAUUUUGUAUUAUGUUGACAUAAUUCCAAAAAAUAUAUUCCUAAAUGAUUCAUUUCCUUUGUGAACACUUAUUCAACUGCCUUUAAUUUAUGAAUAUUUCUUGAUGCCCAUUGCAAGUGUUGAAAGUCAGGAAUUUGUGUCCAUAUAUUGCAUAUCUUCUGAUCUUUAGUGGUUUGUUGGUCAUCUCCAUAGUAGUAUACUAGUAGAAGGCGUAGAUUAUGACUUGAUCCAAGAGAGUUAGAACACCUUUCUAUUUAGAAGAAAUUGUGCUAUUGUUUUCAUUUGAAAGAUGGAAAGAUGUGUGUAGAAAUCAUUUUUUGAUACUUGUUUUCGUUUGAAAGAGAAACCACUUGCUGGAAAGAUGCAUAUGGAAAUCAUCCUGGAUGUAAUCUUCAUAUUUUGUAUUAUGGUGACAUAAUCCCAAACAAUAUGUUCCUAAAUGAUUCGUUUCCCAUGGCAAACACUUAUUCAACUGUCUUUAAUUUUGGAGUAUUUCUUGAUGCCCUUUCGACUGGUGUUGUAGGAUCAAAAGAUUUUCCACAGAAGUUCUUCUCUUUUUUGGUGAUGCCUGCAGAAUUUGAGAUUUUGUCAAACUUGAAUGAUUUGAUGGAAGCAAUUUCAAGCGCUGGCAGAAAAAGAUGCACUUUCUUCUUGCGGGUCUCAGAGUGGUGUAUGUUUUGACCACCCCCAAACUUGCUGUGAAUGAGAAUGAGACUUUGGCUCAAGGACGUGCAAGGCUAAAAUGGGAACAAGAUGAUUAUAUAUGCAAAUGCCACAUUUGCAAUUCAAUGUUAGACAAUAUGUUUGAUUUGUAUCAGAAUAUGGCUACUGCAAAAGAGUUGUGGGAUGCACUUAAGGCGAAGUAUUUCACAGAUGAUGCGACUAAUGUUAGAAAAUCGCUAAAGCAUAGGAAGGAUGAUAUGUCUCUUGAACAAUUGGGCCAACAUUUUCAAGUUGAGGAAGUGUUUAGGCAGAACCCGAAAGGUGCAGAAGAGCAUACUUCCAAAGUGCAUAUGGUGGAAGAAGGAGACAAUUUUAAACAGCCCCAACAUCCCAGAAAAGGGAAUCUAAAGAGGAAGUUCAAUUGUGUCAAGAAUCAAAAUCAGAAAAAGAAAAAAAAAAAAAAGGUUCAUGCUUCUAUUGUGGAAAACCUGGAUACUACAAAAAUGAGUUUCGUCUUCUCAAGAAAAAGCAAAAUGAAAAAAACUCUAGCAAGUUUGUGGUUAUGAUUUUUGAAAUCAAUGCUGUUGAAGAUGACUGUGCACGGUGCAAAGACAAAAGUUCAUUCUCAAAGUAUGAAUCGGUGGAAGAUGACAAUGUUAUCUACAUGAGAAAUUCGUCCACUGCUGUAGUCAAAGGCAGAGGAGAUGUCACCUUUGAAUUUACUUCUGGAAAAAGUUUAACUCUCACUGACGUAUACCAUGUACCAGAAAUUAGAAAAAAGUUAGUUUCUGGAAGCCUACUUAAUAAGUUUGGCUUUAAGUUAGUGUUUGAAUAUGACAAAUUUGUACUCUCCAAUGGUGGAGUCUUUGUGGGAAAGGGCUAUAUGUAUGAGGGUAUGUUUAAGCUUAAUAUCAAUAAAGUGAAUGUUUCUGUUU
Molecule: long non-coding RNA, 3341 nt
Organism: Malania oleifera
Lineage: Eukaryota; Viridiplantae; Streptophyta; Magnoliopsida; Santalales; Ximeniaceae
Exons: 3
Source: RefSeq, a predicted model, not a curated record